Molecule: long non-coding RNA, 343 nt
Organism: Ficedula albicollis (Collared flycatcher)
Lineage: Eukaryota; Metazoa; Chordata; Aves; Passeriformes; Muscicapidae
Exons: 3
Source: RefSeq, a predicted model, not a curated record
AGGGCAGAAAGCAUCAACUGUUCCAGGAAAUAACCUGUCCUUGCACAUUUCCUCAUGUUCAGGCUUCGCUGUUGUGAAUGCAAGCACUGUGAUGAGAGAAGAAGGCAAGGUGUGGGGCAGAAACUUAGCCCUGCUCCUAAAAAAGGGGACAUCUCCUCAUCUCCAUGUUGUUGCACAGGGAGCUGAAAUCUGGCCAGUGCAAGCCACUGGUUGUACCUGUGGAAUUACCUGACUCUUCAUCCCAAGGGCUCAAAAAUCAGAGGAAAAGAAAACCAUCCUCCAUUUUGCUGAGCGCCAGCAGUGUGAACAAAAAUAUAAGGUGCUUCAGGGCAGGAAGAAACCG